This 506-nucleotide ribosomal RNA is filed under the name uncultured bacterium. RNAcentral describes it as "partial 16S ribosomal RNA". It matches the Rfam family "Bacterial small subunit ribosomal RNA", at positions 28 to 523 of the family's 1533-position model. The record is from RNAcentral.
GAUGAACGCUAGCUACAGGCUUAACACAUGCAAGUCGAGGGGUAACGAGAGGAAAGCUUGCUUUCCUUGUCGACGACCGGCGCACGGGUGAGUAACGCGUAUCCAACCUGCCCCCAACUAAGGAAUAACCUUGCGAAAGUAAGACUAAUACCUUAUAAUUUCCUCAGAUGACAUCUGACGAGGAAUAAAGAUUUAUCGGUUGUGGAUGGGGAUGCGUCUGAUUAGCUUGUUGGCGGGGUAACGGCCCACCAAGGCAACGAUCAGUAGGGGUUCUGGGAGGAAGGUCCCCCACAUUGGAACUGAGACACGGUCCAAACUCCUACGGGAGGCAGCAGUGAGGAAUAUUGGUCAAUGGGCGGAAGCCUGAACCAGCCAAGUAGCGUGCAGGAUGACGGCCCUAUGGGUUGUAAACUGCCUUUAUACAGGAAUAAAGUUAGCCACGUGUGGUUAUUUGUAGGUACUGUAUGAAUAAGGACCGGCUAAUUCCGUGCCAGCCGCCGCAGUAA